Molecule: ribosomal RNA, 582 nt
Filed under: Sphingomonas asaccharolytica
Lineage: Bacteria; Pseudomonadati; Pseudomonadota; Alphaproteobacteria; Sphingomonadales; Sphingomonadaceae
Description: bacterial SSU rRNA
Rfam family: Bacterial small subunit ribosomal RNA
Source: RNAcentral
GGUUCGGAAUAACUCUCCGAAAUGCGUGCUAAUACCUGAUAAUGACGUAAGUCCUGACUUUAUCGCCCAUGGAUGAGCCCGCAUAGGAUUAUUUUGUUGGUGAGGUAAAACCUCACCUAGGCGACUAUCCUUAACUGGUCGGAUAGGAUGAUCAGCCACACUGGGACUGACACACGGCCCGAACUCCUACGGGAGGCACUGAUGGGGAAUAUUGGACAAUGGGCGAAAGCCUGAUCCAGAAUUGCCGCGUGAGUGAUGAAGGCCUUAGGGUUGUAAAGCUCUUUUACCCGGGAUGAUAAUGACUGUACCGGGAGAAUAAGCUCCGGCUAACUCCGUGCCAGCACCCGCGGAAAUACCGACGGAGCUAUCCUUAUUCGCAAUUACUGGGCGUAAAGCGCACGUAGGCGGCUUUGUAAUUUAUAGGUGAAAGCCCGGAGCUCAACUCCUGAACUGCCUUUAAUACUGCAUCGCUUGUCUCCUCGAGAGGUGAGUGGAAUUCCGAGUGACUAGGUGAAAUUCGUAGAUAUUCGAAAUAACGCCGUUGCCGAAAGCUGCUCACAGGACUGGUAUUGACGCUGAGGU